GACGUAGGAGGCGAGCGUUAUCCGGAUUCACUGGGCGUAAAGCGCAUGUAGGCGGUUGCACAAGUCCGUUGUUAAAGCCCCUGGCUCAACUGGGGGAGGUCAAUGGAGACUGUGCGACUUGAGGGCAAUAGAGGCACGUGGAACUCCCGGUGUAGCGGUGGAAUGCGUAGAGAUCGGGAAGAACACCAGUGGCGAAGGCGACGAGCUGGGUUGCACCUGACGCUGAGAUGCGAAAGUGUGGGGAGCAAACGGG
Molecule: ribosomal RNA, 253 nt
Filed under: uncultured bacterium
Lineage: Bacteria
Description: partial 16S ribosomal RNA
Rfam family: Bacterial small subunit ribosomal RNA
Source: RNAcentral